UGCCAGCCGCCGCGGUAAUACGAAGGGUGCUAGCGUUGUUCGGAAUUACUGGGCGUAAAGAGCAUGUAGGUGGCCAUACAAGCCAGGGGUGAAAUCCCGGAGCUCAACUCCGGAACUGCCUCUGGAACUGUAUGGCUUGAGUGUUGGAGGGGAUGGCGGAAUUCCUAGUGUAGAGGUGAAAUUCGUAGAUAUUAGGAGGAACACCGGCGGCGAAGGCGGCUAUCUGGACAACUACUGACACUGAGAUGCGAAAGCGUGGGGAGCAAACAGGAUUAGAUA
RNAcentral lists this ribosomal RNA (279 nucleotides) under uncultured bacterium. Its description in RNAcentral is "partial 16S ribosomal RNA". It matches the Rfam family "Bacterial small subunit ribosomal RNA", at positions 506 to 784 of the family's 1533-position model. The record is from RNAcentral.